RNAcentral lists this small RNA (18 nucleotides) under Arabidopsis thaliana (thale cress). Its description in RNAcentral is "ATSL073440". The record is from RNAcentral. Lineage: Eukaryota; Viridiplantae; Streptophyta; Magnoliopsida; Brassicales; Brassicaceae.
AAGAAUGAAGGCAAAGAG